Molecule: unclassified non-coding RNA, 251 nt
Filed under: fungal sp.
Lineage: Eukaryota; Fungi
Description: partial internal transcribed spacer region
Rfam family: Eukaryotic small subunit ribosomal RNA (bases 1-46)
Source: RNAcentral
AAGUCGUAACAAGGUUUCCGUAGGUGAACCUGCGGAAGGAUCAUUAACAAAUGUUUCCAAACACCCUCCACGUCUUGUGAACUGUUAUCAAUGUCCAUGGCGAUGCGCCUGGGCUGUGUCUCGUCUAGGCUUCGGCCUAGGCCUGGCAUUGUCCAGGACUCGCCGUGUUUAUUCAACGUUUAUACUCAACUUUAUACUGAGACUUUAAUGAAAAUUAAAGACAACUUUUAGCAACGGAUCUCUUGGCUCUC